GAAGUUAUAGGUUAAAAAUAAUAAACCUUGGGCCUUCAAAGCCUAAAAUGAGUAUUUCUAACUUU
This 65-nucleotide transfer RNA is filed under the name Spurilla braziliana. RNAcentral's name for it is "tRNA-Trp". The record is from RNAcentral. Lineage: Eukaryota; Metazoa; Mollusca; Gastropoda; Nudibranchia; Aeolidiidae.